UCUUGCUCUGUUGGAGCAUUUCUCAAGAGAUGUUCACGGGCAGGUCCUCAGAGUCAACCACACCACGGAUAAAGUUGAGGUACUAGGGGAUCAGCUCACCACAGCUGUUCAUGAUGAACACACGACGGACAUACAGUUUGAUGUUGUUCUUCUUCUUUUCUCCAAAAGGUCAAAGGGAGCUCGCCGAGGAAUGAAGAGCAAUGCUCUGAAUUCCAACUGACCCUCUACAGAGAAGUGCUUGACUGCCAAGUGGUCCUCCCAAUCAUUGGUGAGGCUCUUAUAGAAAUCACCAUAUUCUUCUUGAGUGAUGUCAUCAGGGUUUCUGGUCCAAAUGGGCUUAGUCUUAUUCAACUCUUCCUGAUCAAUGUAUUUCUCCUUAAUCUUCUUCGUUUUCUUUUUCUUAUCUUUGCCACUGUCAUCCUCCUCAUCUGAUCCCACAUCUUCAAUCUUUGGCUUUUCCUCAUCAUCCUUAUCUUCUUCCUCUUUCUCCUCUUUGCCACUGUCCAAUUUGGAAGGGUCUGUCAGGCUCUCAUAGCGAAUCUUGUCCAAGGCAUCAGAAGCAUUGGAGAUCAAUUCUUGAAGGAAAAUUUCCUUGUUUGAGUAGAAAGGACAUGAGCUGGGCGAUUUCUGCCUGAAAGGCAAAGGUCUCCCUCGCCAUGGUGCACUUCCUCAGCCAUCUUGACAGGAAAGCCGAGUGGUAGUACAGGGCCAGGUGGGCUCAGAGCGCCACCGACUGGCAUGCGGAGGCUAGGCUGCGCGGGGGUGACUCAAGAGCCAAAACGGUUGUCUUAAACAUGUUUUUUUUUGUUUGUUUGUUUGUUUGUUUUUG
This 829-nucleotide long non-coding RNA is filed under the name Cricetulus griseus (Chinese hamster). Its description in RNAcentral is "lncRNA (ENSCGRG00000026503.1)". The record is from RNAcentral. Lineage: Eukaryota; Metazoa; Chordata; Mammalia; Rodentia; Cricetidae.